UCGUCCUGUAUCUAUUAAUAUUAAAUAUUUUCGUUGUUCCAUUAUUCCUGUUAUGUAAUAAUGAUGUGGUUUUAUAUCAUCUUCCAUUGAUUUUUGUGGGGUUUUAUCUAUUCUUCUUGAGGUACUCAUUUUUGAUGAUAUUUGUGGUAUUUCAUAGUUUAUUCUUUUUGAUGUGCUUAAUCUUUCUUUUACUAUUUCUAAAUCUUCUUCUAUAUCAAUCUCAUUAUAACUAUAAUCAUUAUUAUCUAUGACUGUAACUAUCCUUUCAAAAGGAUUUUCUAUUUUUAUUUUUUUUAUUUUAUUUUUUGCUGUUAUUUUAUGUUUUGUU
RNAcentral lists this long non-coding RNA (328 nucleotides) under Solanum tuberosum (potato). RNAcentral describes it as "long non-coding RNA (STUB_LNC000103)". Lineage: Eukaryota; Viridiplantae; Streptophyta; Magnoliopsida; Solanales; Solanaceae. The record is from RNAcentral.